Triticum urartu is the source of this 115-nucleotide non-coding RNA. The record is from Rfam. Lineage: Eukaryota; Viridiplantae; Streptophyta; Magnoliopsida; Poales; Poaceae.
CAAGUACUCCCUCCCUUCGGAAUUACUUGUCAUCAAAAUGGAUGUGUCUAGAACUAAAAUACAUCUAGAUACAUCCAUUUGAAUGAAAAGUAUUUUCGGAUGGAGGGAGUACAAG